RNAcentral lists this transfer RNA (73 nucleotides) under Bacteroidales bacterium. RNAcentral describes it as "tRNA-Lys". It matches the Rfam family "tRNA". Rfam says of the family: Transfer RNA (tRNA) molecules are approximately 80 nucleotides in length. Their secondary structure includes four short double-helical elements and three loops (D, anti-codon, and T loops). The record is from RNAcentral. Lineage: Bacteria; Pseudomonadati; Bacteroidota; Bacteroidia; Bacteroidales.
GAUUCGCUAGCUCAGUCGGUAGAGCACAUCCCUUUUAAGGAUGGGGUCCCGGGUUCGAGCCCCGGGCGAAUCA